GGCACCAUGGCUUCGCUGGCUAAAGCAUCUGUUUAGUAAACAUGAGAUCUUGGGUUCAACUCUGAGUGGUGCCU
RNAcentral lists this transfer RNA (74 nucleotides) under Pelodiscus sinensis (Chinese soft-shelled turtle). It matches the Rfam family "tRNA". From Rfam's summary of the family: Transfer RNA (tRNA) molecules are approximately 80 nucleotides in length. Their secondary structure includes four short double-helical elements and three loops (D, anti-codon, and T loops). The record is from Rfam by way of RNAcentral. Lineage: Eukaryota; Metazoa; Chordata; Testudines; Trionychidae.